Non-coding RNA from Onthophagus taurus, 304 nucleotides. Lineage: Eukaryota; Metazoa; Arthropoda; Insecta; Coleoptera; Scarabaeidae. The record is from RefSeq and is a predicted model, not a curated record.
AAAAACAUAUGGUAUGAUAUGGAAAAUUUUUCAAAAAAAACUCUUGAUGACAAAGUUGUAAAUCUAAGAGUUAAGCGACGAUUUAUAUCUCAAAUUGAAGCUAAAACGUUCUACUUUAAGAUACGAUUAUAACAUAUCUGCGCUAAUUCGCAGAUUUCAAAUUGACUAAAAUCUAAAUUAAAAUAUAUAAAAAUUGUUCAGAAUGAGACCACGAAAAAAAUACUAAAUAUCAUAAAGAUGUAACAUUAAAAACUUUCAACUUAGAGUUGAAAAUAAUACAAAACUAAAUAAUACGCAAUAAUAA